GACGAGCCACCCAAACGUUAUUCGGAAUCACUGGGCUUAAAGCGUGCGUAGGCGGCCUGCAAAGUUGGGUGUGAAAUCCCUCGGCUUAACCGAGGAAUUGCGCCCAAAACUAGUAGGCUUGAGGGAGAUAGAGGUAAGCGGAACUGAUGGUGGAGCGGUGAAAUGUGUUGAUAUCAUCAGGAACACCGGUGGCGAAGGCGGCUUACUGGGUCUUUACUGACGCUGAGGCACGAAAGCCAGGGUAGCGAACGGG
This 253-nucleotide ribosomal RNA is filed under the name uncultured bacterium. RNAcentral describes it as "partial 16S ribosomal RNA". It matches the Rfam family "Bacterial small subunit ribosomal RNA", at positions 524 to 776 of the family's 1533-position model. The record is from RNAcentral.